GACGAACGUUGGCGGCGUGCUUAACACAUGCAAGUCGAACGGAAAGGCCCUGCUUUUGUGGGGUGCUCGAGUGGCGAACGGGUGAGUAACACGUGAGUAACCUGCCCUUGACUUUGGGAUAACUUCAGGAAACUGGGGCUAAUACCGGAUAGGAGCUCCUGCUGCAUGGUGGGGGUUGGAAAGUUUCGGCGGUUGGGGAUGGACUCGCGGCUUAUCAGCUUGUUGGUGGGGUAGUGGCUUACCAAGGCUUUGACGGGUAGCCGGCCUGAGAGGGUGACCGGCCACAUUGGGACUGAGAUACGGCCCAGACUCCUACGGGAGGCAGCAGUGGGGAAUAUUGCACAAUGGGCGGAAGCCUGAUGCAGCAACGCCGCGUGCGGGAUGACGGCCUUCGGGUUGUAAACCGCUUUCGCCUGUGACGAAGCGUGAGUGACGGUAAUGGGUAAAGAAGCACCGGCUAACUACGUG
RNAcentral lists this ribosomal RNA (468 nucleotides) under uncultured bacterium. RNAcentral's name for it is "partial 16S ribosomal RNA". It matches the Rfam family "Bacterial small subunit ribosomal RNA", at positions 28 to 507 of the family's 1533-position model. The record is from RNAcentral.